Molecule: non-coding RNA, 900 nt
Organism: Vicugna pacos (alpaca)
Lineage: Eukaryota; Metazoa; Chordata; Mammalia; Artiodactyla; Camelidae
Source: RefSeq, a predicted model, not a curated record
CUGUAGGUGUCACCGUGAAGGAUGGCAGCAGAGUGGCCGAUUUUUUAUGAGGACAGUCAUUCCCUGUCCCCUGGGCUUUCAGCAGAGGAAAGACUGUUCAUUUCUUCCAAAGUGGCAGUAGUUGGAGCACAUAACGUCUGUUUUUUGGAUUAUGCUCAUCGUUUUUAAAUUAAGUUCUUCAGGGAAGAGGAAAGAAGCUAAACUCACCUGCUGAGCCAACUCUCUAGUGGGUGCCAGGACUAAGGCCUGGGUGGCCUUUAGAUCCAAUUCAAUCUGUUGCAGAAUUGAUAUGGCAAAAGUGGCAGUUUUCCCAGUCCCAGAUUGGGCUUGAGCAAUCACAUCAUAACCUGAAAAAACAAGGAAAUUUGAUAUGGUUAAGAAGCACUCUUUGGAACAGUGGGACAUUCAAAGGCCCUGCUCAACAAAGUCAACAAGCAACCGAGAGAGAUUAAGUGCCAAGCAUUAAGUGCUUCAGACUUUCUAUCACAACAUGGUACCCAGAGAACAGAUCUUGAAGCCAGGUCAGGUUAUUAACUCAUUUGGUACAGCCGCACUAAAACACUACCUUAUUGAAAUUACACCAGCAAUCCACGUAUCCAGGGCAUGAACCAGGCAUGGGCACAAAUCAAAAGCCAAGCUGGGAUAAACAAGGGGUUGCUUUAGCCCUGGCUGAUAUAAGACAGGCACCACCAACCAGGUGCCACUCUACCCAGGUCAGGGACAGUCAAGAACUUGUUGGAUCUUACCCUUGAUACAAGGAAGAAUGGCUCGCUGCUGGAUAGCAGAGGGCUUCUCAAAACCAUAAGCGUAGAUGCCACGGAGGAGGGAUUCUGAGAGGUUCAUGUCGUCGAAGCUGUCAACAAUCUCAUUCCAGUUACUCUGUACGAUGCAAAAAAAAGA